AAGUCGUAACAAGGUUUCCGUAGGUGAACCUGCGGAAGGAUCAUUAUUGAAAUAAACCUGAUGGGUUGUUGCUGGUUCUCUAGGGAGCAUGUGCACGCCUUGUCAUCUUUAUAUCUCCACCUGUGCACCUUUUGUAGAUCUUUCAGGUCUAUGUUUGCUUCAUUUACACACAAUGCAUGUUAAUAGAAUGUUGUGCCUAUGUAAUAUAUACAACUUUCAGCAACGGAUCUCUUGGCUCUCGCAUCGAUGAAGAACGCAGCGAAAUGCGAUAAGUAAUGUGAAUUGCAGAAUUCAGUGAAUCAUCGAAUCUUUGAACGCACCUUGCGCUCCUUGGUAUUCCGAGGAGCAUGCCUGUUUGAGUGUCAUUAAUACAUAUAUAUCAGCCCUCUCUUGUUGAGUGGUUUGGAUGUGGGGGUUUGCUGGCCUCUUAAAAGGGGUUCAGCUCUCCUGAAAUGCAUUAGCAGAACAACCUGUUCAUUGGUGUGAUAACUAUCUACGCUAUUGAAUGUGAAGGGAAGUUCGGCUUUCUAACAGUCUUUCCUCGGACAAUUUACAUCAUUAAUGUGACCUCAAAUCAGGUAGGACUACCCGCUGAACUUAAGCAUAUCAAUAAGCGGAGGAAAAGAAACUAACAAGGAUUCCCCUAGUAACUGCGAGUGAAGCGGGAAAAGCUCAAAUUUAAAAUCUGGCGGUCUUUUGGCUGUCCGAGUUGUAAUCUAGAGAA
Molecule: unclassified non-coding RNA, 724 nt
Filed under: uncultured Cortinarius
Lineage: Eukaryota; Fungi; Basidiomycota; Agaricomycetes; Agaricales; Cortinariaceae
Description: sequence contains ITS1, 5.8S rRNA gene and ITS2
Rfam family: 5.8S ribosomal RNA (bases 212-365)
Source: RNAcentral